This 490-nucleotide ribosomal RNA is filed under the name uncultured bacterium. RNAcentral's name for it is "partial 16S ribosomal RNA". It matches the Rfam family "Bacterial small subunit ribosomal RNA", at positions 30 to 507 of the family's 1533-position model. The record is from RNAcentral.
AUUGAACGCUGGCGGCAUGCUUUACACAUGCAAGUCGGACGGCAGCACAGAGAAGCUUGCUUCUUGGGUGGCGAGUGGCGGACGGGUGAGUAAUAUAUCGGAACGUACCGAGUAAUGGGGGAUAACUAAUCGAAAGAUUAGCUAAUACCGCAUAUUCUCUGAGGAGGAAAGCAGGGGACCUUCGGGCCUUGCGUUAUUCGAGCGGCCGAUAUCUGAUUAGCUAGUUGGUGGGGUAAAGGCCUACCAAGGCGACGAUCAGUAGCGGGUCUGAGAGGAUGAUCCGCCACACUGGGACUGAGACACGGCCCAGACUCCUACGGGAGGCAGCAGUGGGGAAUUUUGGACAAUGGGCGCAAGCCUGAUCCAGCCAUGCCGCGUGUCUGAAGAAGGCCUUCGGGUUGUAAAGGACUUUUGUCAGGGAAGAAAAGGCUGUUGCUAAUACCGACAGCUGAUGACGGUACCUGAAGAAUAAGCACCGGCUAACUACGUG